RNAcentral lists this transfer RNA (70 nucleotides) under Loxodonta africana (African savanna elephant). It matches the Rfam family "tRNA". Rfam says of the family: Transfer RNA (tRNA) molecules are approximately 80 nucleotides in length. Their secondary structure includes four short double-helical elements and three loops (D, anti-codon, and T loops). Lineage: Eukaryota; Metazoa; Chordata; Mammalia; Proboscidea; Elephantidae. The record is from Rfam by way of RNAcentral.
GCAUGAUGGUUCAGUGGUAGAAUUUUUGUUUUCCAUGCAGGAGACCUGGGUUCAAUUCCCAGCCAGUGCA